Molecule: unclassified non-coding RNA, 29 nt
Filed under: Rice yellow mottle virus satellite
Source: RNAcentral
GGCGAAACCGGUCUGUACACUGAUGAGCC